RNAcentral lists this unclassified non-coding RNA (207 nucleotides) under Melitaea cinxia (Glanville fritillary). RNAcentral's name for it is "misc RNA ENSMCXG00005002895.1". Lineage: Eukaryota; Metazoa; Arthropoda; Insecta; Lepidoptera; Nymphalidae. The record is from RNAcentral.
UGUAUGCUCCAUAGUUGGUGAGGAGGUCUCUAAACAAUGUAUCUUUAGAAAUCAACUCCCUUUCGGGGUUAAAACGGGGGAUGGUACAUUGACUCAUUCAUCAUGAAAUCCCCGAAACUAUAACAGCUACAAAUUUGAUAUUUGAUAGGUAGGUUCUUUAUAGAGCGUAAACAUCCGCUAAGAACAAAUUUUACGAAACUCGACCCC